AUUGAACGCUGGCGGCAUGCUUUACACAUGCAAGUCGGACGGCAGCGGGGUAGUGCUUGCACUACUGCCGGCGAGUGGCGAACGGGUGAGUAAUAUAUUGGAACGUACCGAGUAAUGGGGGAUAACCAAUCGAAAGAUUGGCUAAUACCGCAUACGCUCUGAGGAGGAAAGCAGGGGACCUUCGGGCCUUGCGUUAUUCGAGCGGCCAAUAUCUGAUUAGCUAGUUGGUGGGGUAAGGGCCUACCAAGGCGACGACCAGUAGCGGGUCUGAGAGGAUGAUCCGCCACACUGGGACUGAGACACGGCCCAGACUCCUACGGGAGGCAGCAGUGGGGAAUUUUGGACAAUGGGCGCAAGCCUGAUCCAGCCAUGCCGCGUGUCUGAAGAAGGCCUUCGGGUUGUAAAGGACUUUUGUUAGGGAAGAAAAAGGAGCGGUUAAUACCCGUUUCUGCUGACGGUACCUAAAGAAUAAGCACCGGCUAACUACGUG
This 490-nucleotide ribosomal RNA is filed under the name uncultured bacterium. Its description in RNAcentral is "partial 16S ribosomal RNA". It matches the Rfam family "Bacterial small subunit ribosomal RNA", at positions 30 to 507 of the family's 1533-position model. The record is from RNAcentral.